This 569-nucleotide ribosomal RNA is filed under the name uncultured Conocybe. RNAcentral describes it as "eukaryotic LSU rRNA". The stretch from base 174 to 326 matches the Rfam family "5.8S ribosomal RNA". The record is from RNAcentral. Lineage: Eukaryota; Fungi; Basidiomycota; Agaricomycetes; Agaricales; Bolbitiaceae.
UGUACACUAUGCAUAGGCACGAACAUUCACUACUCAAACUUUGCUUUGAUUGUUUUGGAAACUGUUGUUGUAUAUUGAGGCUUUUUUUGUUGUUCGAGUUCUGUGAUUUUAUAUACCCCAAGUGUAUGUUAACGAACGUUAUAAAGGCUCUGAAGCCUAUAAAUCUAUAGUACAACUUUCAGCAACGGAUCUCAUGGCUCUCGCAUCGAUGAAGAACGCAGCGAAAUGCGAUAAGUAAUGUGAAUUGCAGAAUUCAGUGAAUCAUCGAAUCUUUGAACGCACCUUGCGCUCCUUGGUAUUCCGAGAGCAUGCCUGUUUGAGUGUCAUUAAAUUCUCAUCUCUACACACUUGUGUAGUAGAAGAUUGGACAUGGGGGUCUUGUAGGAGCCUUAUAAGUUCACUCCCCUGAAAAAUAUUAGCUCGGAAUGCCUUUGCAUACCAACUAUCAGUUUGAUAAUAUCAGUACUGGCGUUGUUGCACAAGGGGAAUCUGCUUCCUAAUUGUCUUAUGACAAAAUGUAUAAUUUUGACCUCAAAUCAGGUAGGACUACCCGCUGAACUUAAGCAUAU